ACUUUUUAGGGCUGCACCCAUGACAUAUGGAGUUUCCCAGGCUAGGGGUCGAAUCGGAGGUGUAGCUGCUGGCCUACACCACAGCCACAAAAACGCCAGAUCCAAGCUGCAUCUGCAUCUGUGACCUACACCACAGCUCAUGGCAACACCUGAUCCUUAACCCACUGAGAGAGGCCAGGGAUUGAAGCUGAGUCCUCAUGGAUCCCAGUUAAAUUCAUUUCCACUGAGCCACGAUGGGAACUCUGGUGCCUCUGUUCUAUACCAUAGAACCCCGAUAUAGAUUGCAGUUCUCACUUUAGUAUCCAGGGUGAGGGAUGGAGGGGUGAAUCACACUGAAUAUAUUAUGUGUCAUGAGGCAAUUUGCUACCUGCUGGGGAAUUUAAAGAUAAGCAGGUGAUUUGAGGAGCAAAAUGUCCAAGAGGAGAGAUAGGUACAUAAACAGGAACCAACCGAUGCUAUGAUGGAGGACCACAGAAAGUUAGAGUGAUCUGUACACAUAAAACCAGGCCGGUCACAAAUAUUUGGAGCUUAGGAAGAGUAUAGCUGGAGGCCCAUGUAACAUAUGUCUGUUUAAAAGAUAUAUAUGAGCUAACAGACUGUUAAAUAGAAUAUGUUCUCCUCUUCUGUGACAAAUAGAAUUUCAUAAAACCUGAAGGGUCAGGUCUGAGUUCAAAAUUCUCAGAGUUCUGAGAACAUGGCAGUGCAGGGAAAGAUGGCCCGUGGCUCCCAGCCUGUGACCUUUUGCAUUCUCCCUUCCUUUUACUCCUUCUGGUUCCUUUUCCUACUUGGUUGCAUAUAUAUGGACACACAGAUGGUAUAUAUAAGCUCCAAACACAACCUCCACAAACAGCUCUCCCUCGGUCACAACUGAGUUUAGAGUGCACCCACCAGGGGUGCCAUUUUUGUCUUUUGGAGCAAAAGAUUCAGGAAGCAGACCCACUCAGGCUUUGAAAGCCGAGUCAAAGCCAUUUAAACAAGAAUUCCAAGGUCCUAGAUACCAGAAUCUGAUUUAGAAGGGGGUGCCUGUUGGGGUGGGGGGUGGGGGGGGCUAGGCCCAACCCACUGGCUCUAGGGACACUCUGGCCUAUAGUAUGAGGCAUAGCAGACAGGGCUACUGCAAGGCAUUCUGAGUCAUGGUCAUCCUCCGGCCUGGGUCAAAAUGUAGUAUUGCUUAGGCUCUUUCAUCACAUUUUCCUCUAAAUGAAUCAUCUUAAAAUAUAUGCAUCUUUCUAGCAUCGGAUGUUCUGGUUUGCUUUAAGGACAGGGUAAGUGUAUUUACUUGAUUUUCAGUCCCCACCUGAUGAAUUCUUGAAGAAAUGUUAUUUCUGGGUAUAUGAAGCAUGAUAAUUCUAUUUUCCAGUGGCUAUACAGGCUAAUAAGAUACCACAAGGGAAAGGAAAAUAAGAAGAAAUUUUUCUUGGCUGCAAAUCCCAAUUUAGAAUCUAAAAUACAAUAGGACCAUCUUCAAAGACAAAGGACCAUGUGUUUCCAAGCAUUUCUUUCAACCAGACAUUUUCCUAUCAACUGGCUGCUUUCAUUUACUACCAUCUGCAGGCCAUGCUUUUUCUGGAUCAGUUUUCAUCAGGGUCACAAGGAAAUAACACAUCUCAGGUGAGUCCCAGCAAGGUGAGUCCUUCACUACAGGUGUCCUGCACCUGCUCUCAAGCCUAUCUUCACCUCAGUUCCUGAUUUUGCUUGGCUUUCUGCUUAUUUUUCAAUCUUUCUUUUUCUUGUUCUUGCUCAGUAUCUAUAGAUCUUCCCAUUGCUAAUCAUCUCAUCAACUUCUGGCCACUUGCCAUGUUCUUUCUCUAGUACUGAUAUAUUGCUGUCUUGACCUCUAAGUUUCUUGUGAUUUAUGAUGACCUAAACCAGUCUCAUCAUCCUACCCAGUUCCCUGACCUAGAGCCACCCACACACUAGUAGAGUGGAAGCAAAAAUAGACCAUGCCUUGAAGUAAAAUCACCUCCUCCAGUCUUAAUUCUCGUAUAUCAUAGCAGCAGAGAUGAGUGGAUUUUGUUUUUCACUUAUUUGGCUGCUUCUUUUGCAAUAACUUUUUCUUUUUACUCAACCCUAUGAAACCCAUCUAGACCCUGUAAUAUGGUGGACAUCAAUGUUAUAUAAGACCAUUCUAUCUCUAAAUUGUGAACCUGAGCAUAUUACCCUUUGACUAUGACACUGUACUUCCAACUAUUCCCACUUUGGACUCAUCAGAACUUCUAGUCUAUUGACCCCUACAUGCUAAGCAAUUCUUCAGUCUGUUAAUUUCCUCACUUCCCUUCUUAUCCAGUUUAUAUACCAUAAUCAUUCAUUUCAAAACCACUCUCAGAGUUCUCUUGUGGCACAGCAGGUUAAGGAUCUGGCGUUGUUGCUACAGUGGCUAGGGGUUGCCAUUGUGGCACAGGUCUGGUCCCUGAUUCAAGAAUUUCCACAUGCAAGGACAAAUAAAUAAAUAAAUAAAUAAACACUCUAGUUCACACUGAUCAGAAUGGCCAUCAGCAAAAAGUCUACAAAUAAUAAAUGCUGUUGAGGGUAUGAAGAAAACAGAACCCUCCUACACUCUUGGUGGGAGUAUGCAUUAAUAAAGCUGCUAUGGAGAACAGUAUAAAGGUUCCUUAAAAAACUAAGUAUAAAGUUACCAUAUGAUCCUACAAUCCCAUAUCUGGGGAUAUAUCCAGAGAAAACCAUAAUUCAAAAAGAUACACGCAUCCAAUGUUCAUAGCAGCACUAUUUACAAUAGUUGAGACAUGGAAACAACCAAAUGUCCACAGACAAAUGAAUAAAUAAGAUGUGAUAUAUAUAUAUAUAAUGAAAUACUACUCAGCCAUAAAAAAGGAUGAAAUAAAGCCAUUUGCAGCAACAUGGAUGGAUCUAGAGAUUAUCAUACUGAGUGAAGUAAGUCAGACAGAGAAAAAUAAAUAGCAUAUGAUAUCACCUAUAUGUGGAAUCUAAAAAAAAUGAUACAAAUGAAUUUAUUUACAAAAUAGAAAUGGACUCAUAGACAUAUAAAACAAGCUUAUGGUUGCCAAAGAGGAAAGAUGGGGGGAGGGAUAAAUUUGGAACUUAGUAUUAACAUAUAUACACUACUAUAUAUAAAGCCAAUAAUCAACAAGGACCUACUGUACAGCACAUGGAACUCUACUCAGUAUUAUGUAAUAACCUAUAAAGGAAAAUAAUCUAAAUAUAUAUAUAUGUAUAUAUGUAUGUAUAUAAGUGAAUCACUUGGCUAUACACCUGAAACAUUGUGUAUCAAUUAUACUUUAAUAAAAAAAAAUCAACCACUAAGUUAUUUUAAAAAAACCACUCUUGUUGAUACCCCAAACUCCUUUAUGCCCUUGUAUUUUAUUACAUUCGAACUGGGAUCAACACUGCUGUUGGGUUUUCUCUCUGGCAACACUUAAACAUCUAAUAAUUUCAGAGCAAAUUGUUGUCAUCAUAAAUACAUAAUCACAAACCUCAAGUGAACCCUCGACACUGCCCAUCAAUCCUACCAAUUUCAUCUAACUAAACAACCCUCUCAAUUCUCCAUUUUCCUCAAAACUGUGAUGAUGCCUGCUCAGGCUGCCCUUACUAUGUACAGCCAACCAUCUUUCUUCCUUCCAUCAUAGAGAAAAUUGAAGCUGUCAGAAAAAGUCCCCUCAUUUUUCAGUUAUCAGUUCCUCUAUCUAUUAUACUCAAGAUAAUGCCCAGUACUGGACAUACCCUGCCUCUCAUCCCACAUCCCUACCACCUGUAUGCUUUAGCCAUGCUGGCUUUCUUGAUAAGAAUCAUUGAAAUUAUUGGAUAAAUUAAAAUUUCCAAGCCCACUAGAUUAGCACUUUAAUGGGUAAACUUAACAAGAAAGCAGAAUACUUAACAAGAGCCUUAGGUCCUUCUUACUACCCAAAGGAAAAAUGGGGGUAAACACAUCAUGAUCUCUCCCUUCACAGGGCUUUUCAAAUGCUUGUCAAACUCCUUAGAAAGCUCUUCUUCCCUUUCUCCCCUCUCUUCCUCUGCCCACUAUAACAGAUUUACUCCUACUUAUCUCCCAACUUUCUACUCAGGCAUCACAUCAACAGGAAAGCCCUGAUUCACAACCCCACCCACUGUCAUCAAGGUCAGGAGUUCCCUUUGUCCUAUGCUCUCUCAUACGACCACAUUCCUUCCUUUCAAGAUCCUCAGCCCAGUUUCACAUCUCACACUCUUCAUGUGAUUAUUUGGUCAUUGUCUCUCUACCAGACUGUGAUGUUAGAUGCCACCUCUGUGGUCAUUCAUCAUUGUUCCUACAAUACCUAGACAGUAACCUGGUAUAGAUACCAAUUCCCCAAUAAUAAUAAAUGCUUGAAUGAACAAGUGUGGAAUGAGUUAAUGAAUGAAUUGACUCUUAAAACUGACAAGAGAUGUUGGAGAUUAACAAAUGAUCAUUUUGAGUUAUUUAAUCUCUAUUUGUAUAUUUUUAGUGUUGAGCAAUCUUUCGGAUAGUGUUAGAAAAUUCAUUUUUCUAUUAAAUUUAAACCCACUCCAUUGCUUCUUGCCACUGAUACUUACAGUUCAGGCUUCUUGGAAAUAUGAUCAGUCUGUUUCCUCUUAAUGAUACCCCUUCUAUUUGAAAAUUUUAAGCAUGUGUCCCCUAUGUCUUUUUUUCUCCUACAUGAAUAAACACAUUUGCUUGAUUUGGGAGAGUUCUCAGACCUAACUAUCCCCACCCCAGCUGGAGCACACCCUAAGGAACACAGAAACAAGAUAGGAACAACAGAGCCAUGAAACUCUCAGUUCAUAGCUUUAAAUCAUUACUUUGAGAAGAUGAGACUGUUUUCUUCCUUCUACCCGAUACAGUUUAAAUUACAAAGACAUUAAACCACCAAACAGCAAUAUCUCCAAGAAGGAUUGUACCUACAAGGGGAUGAAUCCACAGGGCACAUGGGAUUUAUUACAAGCACUUUUAUUGGAGCGAUUUGUUGACAAAUGACCAAGAAGGAGUAUAGAGUGAUCAGCCAUAAUAAAAAAAAAAAACCCUUAUGUAGAUCAUUUCCCCAAAUACCAUCUGGGAGAGAAACUGAGCCAGAUUCCUGAACCAAAGGUAAGUUUUCUGUCCAUUUCCACUGGUAGUUUUUAUAUGUCAUCUCUGGAGAAAUUUCAGGUGCUUCAAAUCUAAACCUGUAUCAAAGUUGUGAUUUAUAAAAAUGGCAGAGGGGUUCUAUUUGUCUCUAUUUGCUAAUCCUAGCCAAAAGCUGAAAAGAAUUGGAGUUUAAAUCCUAUUACUUGCUCACAGCCCCCAUCCCCCAAGGCCACAGUGUUAAAUUGAUACAAUUACCCCUGGAAUGAGUGAGGAGGUUGUCACACUGACCAACUGUUUCUAGUGUUCGUCAGGAGACAGCUGGGUCUUCCAGAUUAAGAGAACCACAUGUCCCUCUCAUAGCUGAAAUCCUUUCCAAGGGUCACUUUUACAGGUUGCUCCAAAAACUAGAGGCAGAAGGACCACGUCAUGGCUUGGCUCUGGGCCCAGGAGGCCAGGUGCCAUUAAAGAGCGCGUAUUAAGAGCUACUUUAACAGUGUAUUUUAAGACAGUGAUGCUACUACCUUAUGGCAAAAUAUGGCAGCAAAUGACAGCCUGCAAUUCGGACAUAACCAAAUUGCUUAUGGGGUCAGAACAAUGGAGGUCAGUACUGACCCAGUAUUUUUAAGCUUGAGAAAAUCAAGUAAAGACCUAGGGCACUGGCUAUAGGAACAAAAGGAAAAGACUUAUAAUAAAAAGAAUCCA
This 5737-nucleotide long non-coding RNA is filed under the name Sus scrofa (pig). RNAcentral describes it as "lncRNA (ENSSSCG00000053090.1)". The record is from RNAcentral. Lineage: Eukaryota; Metazoa; Chordata; Mammalia; Artiodactyla; Suidae.